Molecule: unclassified non-coding RNA, 324 nt
Filed under: uncultured Phlebia
Lineage: Eukaryota; Fungi; Basidiomycota; Agaricomycetes; Corticiales; Corticiaceae
Description: partial contains 5.8S ribosomal RNA, internal transcribed spacer 2, and large subunit ribosomal RNA
Rfam family: 5.8S ribosomal RNA (bases 1-52)
Source: RNAcentral
AACGCACCUUGCGCUCCUUGGUAUUCCGAGGAGCAUGCCUGUUUGAGUGUCAUGGAAUUCUCAACCUUUGAAAGCUUUAUUGGUUUCCAAAGGCUUGGACUUGGAGGUCGUGUCGGCUCUGCAAAGAAUCGACUCCUCUGAAACGUAUCAGUGCGAACCUUUACGGAUCGUCUUCGGUGUGAUAAACGUCUACGCCGUGGUCGUGAAGUAUGAUCGUGUUCGUGCUUCUAACCGUCUCCUUUGCGAGACAAAAACUGUGUUACUAAGUAACAUGGACAUUGACAAUCUGACCUCAAAUCAGGUAGGACUACCCGCUGAGCUUAA